This 310-nucleotide ribosomal RNA is filed under the name Amaricoccus sp. HAR-UPW-R2A-40. RNAcentral's name for it is "Bacterial large subunit ribosomal RNA". It matches the Rfam family "Bacterial large subunit ribosomal RNA", at positions 1993 to 2305 of the family's 2925-position model. The record is from Rfam by way of RNAcentral. Lineage: Bacteria; Pseudomonadati; Pseudomonadota; Alphaproteobacteria; Rhodobacterales; Paracoccaceae.
CGAAUGGCGUAACGACUUCCCCGCUGUCUCCAACGCAGACUCAGCGAAAUUGAAUUCCCCGUGAAGAUGCGGGGUUCCCGCGGUCAGACGGAAAGACCCCGUGCACCUUUACUACAGCUUCACACUGGCAUCAGGCCAGGCAUGUGCAGGAUAGGUGGCAGGCUUUGAAACAGGGACGCCAGUUCCUGCGGAGCCGUCCUUGAGAUAUCACCCCUUGCCUUGCCUGAUGUCUAACCGCGGACCGUCAUCCGGUUCCGGGACCUGUGUGGCGGGUAGUUUGACUGGGGCGGUCGCUCCAAAAGUAACGGAG